This 572-nucleotide long non-coding RNA is filed under the name Rattus norvegicus (Norway rat). Its description in RNAcentral is "long non-coding RNA NONRATT004681". The record is from RNAcentral. Lineage: Eukaryota; Metazoa; Chordata; Mammalia; Rodentia; Muridae.
GAAGAAGGCCCACACGGCCCCCAGAAGAAAACUUAAUAGUCUGGGGGCUCCCUUGGGUCCUUCUCAUUAAAAAAAAAAAAUCUCUAUUUAAAUGCAAAUUUGAGCCUGAGCUGCUGUGGGUUGGCAGGAGGCAGAGAGACAUCCAGGCGCUGAGUUUGCACACCCAGAUUUCGGAUGCUACUCCCCAAUCUUGUCUGGAAAUCUGGGUCCUGAACCUAGUUUUAUUCCAUCCUCAGUGGCCAGUCAGCCCAGCCAUGGGAGAGCCCCUCCACGAAGCCCUUCCCACCUCGGCUGCUUUCUAUGUCUGUCAGUCGGUCUGUCUGUCUCUACCACCCAUGGGCACAUACUAACUUGUACUCUGACCUUUCUAUAGAAAUGUUGGGCACACAACACAAAGCCCAUCAGACUCCAUGUUUCAGGUGGGCUUUUAUUGUCGGGGUGGGGGGCUUGUUUGUUUCUAAGAGAAAGAAAGAACCUGAGGUUGGGAGGGUAGGGAGGUGAAGGAAAACCUAGGGGCAGCUGGUGGGAGAAUAUGCUCAAAAUACGUUGUAUGAAGCUCUGAAAGAAAAAAA